RNAcentral lists this ribosomal RNA (824 nucleotides) under uncultured bacterium. RNAcentral's name for it is "bacterial SSU rRNA". It matches the Rfam family "Bacterial small subunit ribosomal RNA", at positions 8 to 825 of the family's 1533-position model. The record is from RNAcentral.
AGAGUUUGAUCCUGGCUCAGGAUGAACGCUAGCGGCAGGCUUAACACAUGCAAGUCGAGGGGCAGCGCGGGGCGGCAACGUCCUGGCGGCGACCGGCGGAAGGGUGCGUAACGCGUGAGCGGCAUGCCCGUUGCCCGGGGACAACCGGUGGAAACGCCGACUAAUCCCCGAUGGGACGGAGGCCCUCAUGGGUCUCUGUUGAAAGUUACGGCGGCGACGGAUUGGCUCGCGUCCGAUUAGCUUGUUGGCGGGGUAACGGCCCACCAAGGCUACGAUCGGUAGGGGUUCUGAGAGGAAGGUCCCCCACAAUGGAACUGAGACACGGUCCAUACUCCUACGGGAGGCAGCAGUGAGGAAUAUUGGUCAAUGGGCGGAAGCCUGAACCAGCCAUGCCGCGUGCGGGAAGGAGGCCCUAUGGGCUGUGAACCGCUUUUGCCUGGGGGCAAUAAGGGCGUCGCGCACGUCCGAUGAGAGUACCAGGCGAAUAAGCAUCGGCUAACUCCGUGCCAGCAGCCGCGGUAAUACGGGGGAUGCGAGCGUUAUCCGGAUCCAUUGGGUUUAAAGGGUGCGUAGGCUGUGCGUCAAGUCAGGGGUGAAAUUCCGGGGCUCAACUCCGGGGCUGCCCUUGAUACUGUCGCGCUGGAGUGCGGAUGCCGCCGGAGGAAUGAGUGGUGUAGCGGUGAAAUGCUUAGAUAUCACUCAGAACACCGAUUGCGAAGGCAUCUGGCGAAUCCGUAACUGACGCUGAGGCACGAAAGCGUGGGGAUAGAACAGGAUUAGAUACCCUGGUAUUCCACGCCGUAAACGAUGAGGGCUAACCGCCG